Molecule: ribosomal RNA, 253 nt
Filed under: uncultured bacterium
Lineage: Bacteria
Description: partial 16S ribosomal RNA
Rfam family: Bacterial small subunit ribosomal RNA
Source: RNAcentral
UACGAUGGGUGCAAACGUUAUUCGGAAUCACUGGGCGUAAAGGGUGCGUAGAUGGUAUGUUAAGUUCGUCGUUAAAGCCUCCAGCCUAACUGGAGUAUUGCGAUGAAAACUGGCGCACUAGAGGGUGAGAGAGAGAAGUGGAAUUCCUGGAGUAGCGGUAAAAUGCGUGGAUCUCAGGAGGAACACCAAUGGCGAAGGCAGCUUCUUGGCUCAUUCCUGACAUUGAGGCACGAAAGCGUGGGGAGCAAACAGG